GACGAACGCUGGCGGCGUGCUUAACACAUGCAAGUCGAACGGAAAGGCCCUGCUUUUGUGUGGUGCUCGCGUGGCGAACGGGUGAGUAACCCGUGAGUAACCUGCCCUUGACUUUGGGAUAACUUCAGGAGACUGGGGCUAAUACCGGCUAGGAGCUCCUGCUGCAUGGUGGGGGUUGGAAAGUUUCGGCGGUUGGGGAUGGACUCGCGGCUUAUCAGCUUGUUGGUGGGGUAGUGGCUUACCCAGGCUUUGACGGGUAGCCGGCCUGAGAGGGUGACCGGCCACAUUGGGACUGAGAUACGGCCCAGACUCCUACGGGAGGCAGCAGUGGGGAAUAUUGCACAAUGGGCGGAAGCCUGAUGCAGAAACGCCGGGUGUGGGAUGACGGCCUUCGGGUUGUAAACCGCUUUCGCCUGUGACGAAGCGUGAGUGACGGUAAUGGGUAAAGAAGCACCGGCUAACUACGUG
This 468-nucleotide ribosomal RNA is filed under the name uncultured bacterium. RNAcentral describes it as "partial 16S ribosomal RNA". It matches the Rfam family "Bacterial small subunit ribosomal RNA", at positions 28 to 507 of the family's 1533-position model. The record is from RNAcentral.